UGGGUUGACCUCACUUGUUGGAAUUCCAGGCUCCCUGAAGGAAGAAGAAUAAUCCCAGUUUUCUGCUCCAGUGUAACCUAGCAAAUCUGGAGAAGCCUUGUUAGUUGGCUAAAAUAGCCUAGUAUUGAUUACCAGAUCUUUCAAAUGAGUAAAUUUAUCUUUCGUCUAAGAAAAAGUCAGAGGGAGACAAAUAAAGAAGUAGGAAGACAGAUAACUCUUGGCUGAAGAACUUGGCUGAAGGCUGGAAUAGAUUUAUGGACUGGGCUUACCAUGCUGAAAUUUGAAGGACAUCAGGAGUGGAAUUGACAACAAAUUUCAAUAUGAAUUCUCCUACAUAAGGAAAUAUAUGAAACUUUAAAUUGAUGGAUUUGUCAGUAGUGAAAAUGGUUGAU
RNAcentral lists this long non-coding RNA (392 nucleotides) under Sarcophilus harrisii (Tasmanian devil). RNAcentral's name for it is "lncRNA (ENSSHAG00000028675.1)". Lineage: Eukaryota; Metazoa; Chordata; Mammalia; Dasyuromorphia; Dasyuridae. The record is from RNAcentral.